UCCUACGGGGGGCAGCAGUAGGGAAUUUUCGUCAAUGGGCGCAAGCCUGAACGAGCAAUGCCGCGUGAACGAGGAAGGUCUUCGGAUCGUAAAGUUCUGUUGAAGGGGAAAAAGAGCGGAGAGAGGAAAUGGUCUCCGAUUGAUAUUACCCUUCGAGGAAGUCACGGCUAACUACGUGCCAGCAACCGCGGUAAUACGUAGGUGGCGAGCGUUAUCCGGAAUGAUUGGGCGUAAAGGGUGCGUAGGCGGCCUGCUAAGUCUGGAGUGAAAGGUACCGGCUCAACCGGUACAGGCUCUGGAAACUG
This 305-nucleotide ribosomal RNA is filed under the name uncultured bacterium. RNAcentral's name for it is "bacterial SSU rRNA". It matches the Rfam family "Bacterial small subunit ribosomal RNA", at positions 337 to 635 of the family's 1533-position model. The record is from RNAcentral.